Molecule: long non-coding RNA, 289 nt
Organism: Xenia sp. Carnegie-2017
Lineage: Eukaryota; Metazoa; Cnidaria; Anthozoa; Malacalcyonacea; Xeniidae
Exons: 2
Source: RefSeq, a predicted model, not a curated record
CGCUUGUGCCAGCGAACCUUGUAAAAAUGAAGGUGUUUGUACAACUGUUGGAUCUUCUUAUAACUGUAAAUGUAAAUAUGGUUUCACUGGAAUGAAUUGCCAGACCCUUGUUCAUCCUGUCUGCGUGAACGCUAAUUGGGGGAUAUCUUUCAAAAAAGAAGGAUGGUCGACAUGUGGUCCCCAAAACAAGUUAAUCACUGGCUUUUAUCGCAACAGCGUAAUUAAGGAUGAUGGACUCGACCGUCUUGAACAAGCAAAAUGCUGCCCGUUAAGUCCAAAAUAUUUCGCC